Molecule: unclassified non-coding RNA, 593 nt
Filed under: Seiridium cardinale
Lineage: Eukaryota; Fungi; Ascomycota; Sordariomycetes; Amphisphaeriales; Sporocadaceae
Description: sequence contains ITS1, 5.8S rRNA gene, ITS2
Rfam family: 5.8S ribosomal RNA (bases 236-389)
Source: RNAcentral
AACAAGGUCUCCGUUGGUGAACCAGCGGAGGGAUCAUUACAGAGUUAUCUAACUCCCAAAACCCAUGUGAACUUACCUUUGUUGCCUCGGCAGAAGCUACCUGUACCUACCUGGAACAGCCUACCUGGAGCGAUCCGGGCUGGCCUACCUGGAACGGUCUGGUGGUCGACUGCCGGUGGACCAUUCAACUCUUGUUAUUUUAUUGUAAUCUGAGCGUCUUAUUUUAAUAAGUCAAAACUUUCAACAACGGAUCUCUUGGUUCUGGCAUCGAUGAAGAACGCAGCGAAAUGCGAUAAGUAAUGUGAAUUGCAGAAUUCAGUGAAUCAUCGAAUCUUUGAACGCACAUUGCGCCCAUUAGUAUUCUAGUGGGCAUGCCUGUUCGAGCGUCAUUUCAACCCUUAAGCCUAGCUUAGUAUUGGGAGUCUACUGUAUUGUAGUUCCUCAAAUCCAACGGCGGAUCUGUGGUAUCCUCUGAGCGUAGUAAAUUUUUAUCUCGCUUUUGUCAGGUGCCGCAGCUCCCAGCCGCUAAACCCCCAAAUUUUUUAAUGGUUGACCUCGGAUCAGGUAGGAAUACCCGCUGAACUUAAGCAUAU